Molecule: long non-coding RNA, 11450 nt
Organism: Gasterosteus aculeatus aculeatus (three-spined stickleback)
Lineage: Eukaryota; Metazoa; Chordata; Actinopteri; Perciformes; Gasterosteidae
Source: Ensembl
GCUUUAUGGCAAAAGUCCCUGUGGAUUAUUUCUGCAUUAAACCAGACAAUCCCACCCUGAUCUUUAACUAUGUGAUGUCCCAAAUGUUCAAAUACAACAGUUAAAACUUUGUCUCAAAAAAAUAUCUAAAUGGCAUUGCAUUCAAAUAGUUGUAUUUGUAAAAACAGACUCAUUUCUUGUGACACACAUAAAAACACAACAGUUUUUUGUGCAAAUUAACCUUUCAAAAAAAACACCCUUCUUCACAGGAAACUAAUUGGCCAAAGAGCUGCUCACAGUAGUCUUGCUGAGGAAAAGAUCGCUCUUUGGACUGGAAAUAUCUAAAAAAAUCACUAAGACAAUGUUAGUGUUUCCUCAGCACAUUAUGGUUUAUUCAUCUUUGCGGGCGUAGCUACGAACGCUGCAUGAGGUUCAUCACAACGGUAUCGAUGCCUUUGCUGCUUGUGCUGUUCCUAUAAAUAAAAACAGGUCAAUUCGAUAUGGAGCUGCAGACGCACUGCUUCUGGAAACCUUUGCAGAAUGGCAUGAAGGUGGCCGGCCCCCUUUGACCUCGCUGACAUUAGCGGUCACGGUUGCUCAUAGCUCGGCUCGUCAGUGCCCUUACUGGAAGACGCUAAUAGAGCACCUCUCUCUUCAUUCCGUCUAACAUCACCUUUCUCCGCUUCCUUUUUUCCCCCUUUCCAGCAACGUGCUCGAUUGUCUCUUUGCUCCUGGUGCCUCGCUCUCUCACACUUUGUGUCUACCCAAUACUGUCUGUCUCCUACGCUCCAGCAUCCCUUCUAUCCCUCGGUUGUAUGCAAGAUGAGGCAAAAGAACGAGAGAAAAAAAGAAAUCCUCUCACAAUUCCCUCAUCUCCUUUCUUUUUUGAAAGCUAGCCUUUGUGGAGCUGCCGGGAGCAGCUCCAGUGUCUCAAACCACAGCCAGGACUCUUUUCAUCGGGAGAGGUUUGAAAUCUAACUGACCCUAUUCAUGCACUGCCAGGCCUUUGCUUGUACUCAUGCUACAUAAUACGUGACAAUGCAGCGGCUUGGGAAUGUGAAUUAUUGAGUGAAGGUGGGGGGGGGCAACAGCCGAAGAGCUCAGAGGGAGUUUGGUGCGAAUUAGGAGGUAAUUUCGAAUGCGGCAUUUUACAAAAUAGCAUUGUCGAAGAUUUUCUUGAGACGGUUUCAUUACUCACAUGAAAGAAAAGGUCUUUCUUCAGGAACUGUACAAUAUGGCAGCCUUUUAAGUUUUUUUUUUUCCCAUUUCAUCUCGGCCACAUUCUUGCUCAGUUGUCAUGCUGUGGUCUUUCUCCCAGAGAUCCGCUGUCAGUCAAGCAGCGUGUCCAACAGUGGGAUCUCUCUCUCUGCGCUUCCUCUGCUUUUGAGAAAAAGACGUCUUUUCGUAGAUGAUAUUCAUGUCUGCAUUGUUGAGCCGUGGCGGCUGCGACAGCCCCCCCGUCACUCACGCGGCUGAUUGUCUCUGGCGGUGCAAACUAAUAUUGGAAUGCUUUUCUGUUUAAUAUGAAAGAAGCAUCCCGAGCGCUCGCUGAUCUCGGGGGAAGAAAAGCAGCCGUUCUUUUCUCGUCCGGUUUCACGGCAGAGUGAUCCGCGCUGGCAGAUAGACCUGUGCAAAGCCGGCGGUGAUCACACUGAAUGGGCACAACCGGUCAGAAAUAACAAGCUGCAUAGGUUGUGCCUAUUGCCGCCAUCACGGCGACAAAUAUUGUGAUAUAGUCUUCAUCUAGGAUGUAUAUGAUGGUGUAUCUUUCUGAUCCAAAUGCAGAUGUGGGUUUAAGCUUCUGGUCGUGAGUUUUAUGCAGCAUUCUCAUCAGCAAUCUGGUUCAUGUUUUUUUUUUGGGCUUCUCCAGAAGUGUGGAGCCGGGUUGGAUGGGGAAACGGGAAAACGGACGUGUAAGCAGUAUUUGAGUAUAUAAAUAGCAUUAACCUUUAAUCUACUCGGGUACAAUCGGGAUUGGUGCAAAGGUAUGAUUUUCCUAAAAGGCACUUAGGCCCGACGCGCAGUGAGCAGAGCCGGUCGUUUUGUUUCUCUGCAGACUUUAGAUGAUUCAGGGAUUCGGGGCCUGAGUGCUUCGGACAGUAUGUAAAAGGCUUUUCUGAUCUUAUGGUUGAUGUGAUUGCUGUUGGGGAAGAUUGAUCAGUCACAGAGAAAAACAAACACUCGACAUGAAAAUAUGGCCGAUUAUAGAGCCAGAAGUCAGAGAAUUGGAAUGAGAACAAAAAAAGUUCCUUUGAUUUGUGUGGCAAUAAAAGCUACUUGAACUCCUGAUCACAGCAGCAGCAGCAUCGAAUGUGACUAUACAAUCAUUUCCAAAUAUCAUUCUGUGUAAUGAAUGAGGCUACAACUCAGCAAAAACUUUCUCCUGAAUGAAACUAAAAGACAACGUGGCAUUUCAAAUCUCACUGAAAAUAUCCCUGUAGGCAUGGAGUCUUCAAUAAAUCCUCUUUUAUUAGAGAUAACUUGUUUACUUAUGCACCACCUAGGGGCAAACAAGGAUGGCUUGAUACAGAAUCAAUAGUACUUUCAUUCAUGUUCAUUUCUGCUAACAGACUUAUUCCGUAAUGGAACUUCUCAGACUGAAAGAAAUACUCACAUAAAAAAAUGCCAACGGGACAGAAAAGCCAAUCCUGGUACCAUGACAAACGUGGGAAAAGUGUGUUUGUAAUUGGUGAUUAAAGAGACGCAGAUUCUUUGGUGUUCUUUAGUUUGGGGUUUGAACCGUUGACUUGACAAAAUAAGACGUCUGAAGAAACACCCGUCAUUCAUUAUUCAAAAGCAAUGACUCAGCAAUGAAAAAAAAGCAGUAAGCUGCUGACCUGCUGUUUUUUCCAAGUACUCUGUAUUACAAAAACUGCUUCCAUUUGGUCAAAUAGAAACGCCGUCCCUCUGAAGACGCAUGACCAGUGGAAUCGCACGAAUCGCCGCUGCAGAAAUCCGACCUGCGAUGUUUUGGUCCCCCGACUGCUCGCUCACACCGCGAGGCCACUCGGAGCAGAACGUUGUGUCAAUACAGACGGGCCUAUUGGUCUGUGUGUUUAGACGCCUCAAUGGGACGACACCGGGGCUUUGGCGGCUCAUAAUGGGAACACCAGUGUGUGAAAUAUGUUAUGCAAAGGAAGCAGGCGGGUGAUGCAGCGAAGGGCCACCGUUUGGCAGUAAGUCCGGAGAGUCAGCAGUAAAGAGAGGACUAAAGUCAACACGCCGCAAGAAGCGCCGGCCCGAGACCUCUGCUCAUCCCUCAGGGCAGAACUUCAAUAAAAAAUACCACGGUAAUAAGUCCUCCAUCCUCAAAAUGAAUUACCUUCAGGUUUCCUCUAUUUCAUCAAGGAGUUAUGGGGAAUAAACUUGGAUAACAGUUUUAGCUGAUUGAAUUGAUUUAUAAUAUGAAUUCUAGAUAUUUUUAUGUACUAGAAACAGCUUAGCUUGAGAGCAAUUCCUCCAGGAGAAGCAUCAUUCAAUUAUUUCAUGUGGAUUUGAUUGAAUAAUGGUCUCCAAAUAAUUUCAGAUAAAAGAUAAUAUGCAAUUUUAUCAUUCGUAUUUUGAUGUUAAAACAUUACUUUGUCUCUCUUUAUCAUCGUUUUCCUCUUCUCUUGUCCUGUACUGUGAUAACACAAGAAGUAGAAUGUGGGGAUAAAUGCAUGUAUAAAGAUCAGGAUUUACUAUAUAGGACUCACAAUAUAGUUUCAUGUUGGAAAGAAAUCGAGCAAAUCUAAGAAAAGCUAAAGAAUAUCAGCAGAUCCUACGUAGUGUAUUCAAAAAGUAAACAACGUCAUGUUGAGUGAAAGUUCUGUGGUGGGAAUUAUUAUUCUGAGAGCCCAUUCAUUAACUAGCUGCCGUUUAUCUUCCAUUCUCACCGGAGAAUGUCAAAAGAAGUCAUCGCUUCCGACAGUUGAAAUAUCAACACCGAGUCAAGGUGGAAGUCGCAAAUUAUGAAUAAAACAUGUCGUGUUUGACAAUUCCAUCACAGCUAAUAAAACCGUAGGCGUGCUGGGCUUUUGCCAAUCAUCCCACUGACGGCAUUAAUUGAAAUGGCAACAUAAUUAAAAAUCCAAUUAAUCAUGCAGCCCUAACGGACAGAAACAUGUAGAAACUGCGAAAUUGACCUUCAAAAUAGAAUUUCUUCUUUGCUUAUACGUAAAAAAAAAACAAUAUUUAUAUAUUUUUGGCCUUUCAAAUUAAUUGGGGGGAUACAUUCUUUGUGCCCUGGGACACAUGCAGACAAUAAUUUGUGCUUGGAUGGUUUGUGAAAGACCAGACAAUUUAAUUAUGAACAGUCAUUUAGGAAUUAGGCCAUUACUGUCAGUUACUGUAUGUGAUUGGAUUCAAGUGCCUGCAAAAGAGCAAAAGCAUCACCAUUGGCAGCAAUUUCAGCAAAUUCUAAAAAUAGGAAUACGAAUAAAAAGCACAUUUUGCUAAAAAAAAAAGUGCUUUUGGUAUAUUAAGUGUUGCUCUUUGAAUGUGAAAACCAUCCCUCUUUUCCACUUCCAUGAUUGAUUUUAUUACUUUAAAAUAUUCACAAACGCACAGCGUUAAAUUGCUUUAGUUGGAAGAUUCCCAAAGAGCCGUUUCAAACACACAUAUUUACAAGACCUCGUCAUUGACUCUGGCUGACGUGCACGAACAAAGCUCUCAUCCAUAUUUAACACCUGGCGCUUUUCCAUAAUCUGAGGAUAAAUUGGGCCGCCUCGAUAACUCCUACAUUCAUCACGGCAGAUUAAAACAGACGCCUUUUUAAGUAAUUGCUCAACAUAGUCUCAUUUUUCAUCAUCAAAUCAAGUUUCAGAGAGCUGCACCCAUCUCGUGCUGACCUCGAUGCCUUUCCAACACAGAAAGAUUAGCUUCCCCCCACCAGGAGGAACCCAGAUAUCGCGUCGAUCCGUUCCAUCGAUCACUGGACGUGUGGGAAUGAAUUGAAUCCCAUCCCUCCCCCCACGCGCACAUGGACCUCUGAGCCCCUGAUCCGGUUUCCGGGACCAUUCCUGACUCCCGGGCCACCGACAUACAAACCAUUUGAGCUCAGCACACACACAAAAAAAAAAUCAUCCGGACACAUUCAGCCACAAUGGAGUCACGCUCGGAUUGGCUCUGUGAGCACUGUCACGGCCUUUUGAGCACGAAGAGGGCUUUUGGGUGGCGAAGGCUGUGAAAUAACAGAGAGGGGGAGUGUGUGCGGGGUGAGGGAGGGAGGGCGCUCUGCUCAGUGUUGACUGUCUAAAACGGACCGGGGCGCUGGACGCGAUAAGCCGGCUGCGAUAAACAGUAACGCCAAUCAAAACUACGGCGACGGCGAACAAUAUUUGCCAUCCCCUCCACGGACGUUGACCCCGGAUUCCUGGGGCCUCCAUGAUGGAAGACGGAGACAACAGCCGAACCUGAAGGCUAAAUCGUUGUUGCAUGUCUGCUGAACUCGAGGAUCAUCCCUUUCAUGUCGGAAAAAGCAGACCGUCCCCCCUUCGCCUCUCCAGCACAGACACUUCAGAAAAGCAAACAAUCGGGUCCAGGAAUAGCAGCGGUAUUGUUGCGUCCCCACGUUUCUCAUAAGGGCCCUCCACUCCUCCUGCCCUCCUGCCGGAGAUUCAAUCCGAACCUGAAUGAGGUCCAAACAAAGAGGAGCUGUCAGUGGUCUGCUAGACGUGGUGGAUUAAGCUGAGAAAUGAAGACCUGUCGCAGACUUCAGCCAAAUGGACUCCCUGUAUCUAAGCAGCAGUGGCAAGGAGCCACACGUCUUUCACGGGCGGCCUUUUAAUGAGCUCUAAUUAAAUUUCCGCGGGCUCAGCAUUUGUUCACGGAUAAGCGUCGGAUCGCUGGCCGCCUACGAGGAGACUCAGAAGUAAAAGGAGAGAUAAAAUCCCAAAACGAUAACCUUCUCUUGCUUGAAACCACUGGUGUCCUUGAAAACAUUUGGCCAUUCCAUCAGAAUAUGAGACAAAUAGUCUGGUUUGAAACGUGCAAUGAUCACACAUGUCUUCACGUGGUUGUGUGACUAAUGUUAAGCACUUGCCUUGUCAUUCAAAGGUGGCAUGAGAGGGGAUCAUCAAAUUCAUUCACACGCUGAACGUCAGAAAUAUCAACCAAAGUCUCACUUGCAACAUUCUGGAAAAGACUGAACUUAACAAUAAAUUCUAGAAAACCAAACAAAAACAUGAACUAGACCUAAUCAGAUAUGUAGAAACAGUUGUUUGAUUCCUCCAUGUAAUGAGAUGUCAGCAUGGAGUGUCAAAGUGAUGGAACUGGGGGGGGAGCAGGGAUGAGUCCUAAAUGCUCUGUCAAUUAUCUAGUUUUAGUUCUUGAAUGAAGACGUGAAACUGGAAACCAGUGGGUUUAGGCGUGUGUGACGUUUCCACGAAAGUAACGUGGCACCCUGGGAAGCAUCAAGUUGUCCAUCCAGCAGGCGACUCACAUGAUACGGGGGAAAACAAAAAGCCAGCUGUAACGUAUUUUCCUGCUAAUCCUCCGUCGUGCUCGCACUCUUCCUCCCGUCGUGUGCUUUCAUCUGCCUUUUACAGGAAACUUUCUGUCAUUUCCCCGAUUUAUCAUCUCGUGUCACAUUGCUGCGCGCGAAAAAAACACCUUCCACCAAGUGUGAUUCCUUCCACCUGGCUGUGCUUCAUUCAUGGGUGCUUCUUUCUGCACCAUUAAGCAGCAGAGGUCCCUCCGGGUGGCGCGCGGUACACUUACAAAGGAGGUGAUCAGGGACGUCUGAAAAACAUACAUCUCACGUCAUCGCAUUUCACGUGGCCUCGGUAGAGUGAACGGCGCUAUGAAAUACAUGUGCAUCACGACCGAAAUGGUUUCGUUGAAUUGAGACUAACACACAGGCAGAGUUCUGCUGUUCUGCACGGCGGCGGGACACAAACCAACACGGUGAUGAAGACGUAACAGCGUUAAAAGGCCGUGUGCCGUGAGCAGGGAGCAGGGAAAUGCUAACGACAGCACGCUAGUCAGGAUAUAUGAAAAUAAAAAUAGCAAUGACCACUUGCUUUCAGUCACGCGUGAUCAUUUGUGUCCCUGGAAUAUGUCCCCCUGAAGUAAUAUGCUGAUUUAAUGCGACAUUAGUGGUAAGAGCAAUAAAAAAAGGGGACACAUACGGAUGGUUGUGUGAUGUUUUCUGGGUCUCUGGCGGAAACAUCCGCGUAUUUUAACGCGGGUUCAUAGUCGAUACGGCACAGCUUAAGUGAAAAGCCUGCAUGACAUCUUUGUGAAAUGGAGUUUGACUUCAUCCUUCUACCCGUCGCUCUCUCCACGCAGCUGCAAUCCGAAACUACUUACCCACACAAAACGUUCUCUUGGUCCAGCCACCGAGGUAAAUCAGCCAAUGAGAUUAUUUCUGCUUGAGCGGCUGAGAAAUGCUCCUAAUUCGGAAUCCCACCAAAUGAGCGUUUGGCUCGGAUGAUGUGGGUAUAACCGCUGCCUUUCCCUAUGAAUCUCCCGCUAAGUGGUCGCAUAACUUCAUAUCUCCGUAAAGGUUUUGUCUUUAAACUUGUUUUACUUCCCUCAGUCGAUGGAGGAGGGAGAGAGGGGGAGAGAGCAGGCAUACAAAAGAGAGAGACACAAAGAGAAAAAGACGCCCGCACGGCCGAAGAUCUGUCUCAUGACUGAAACAUUCUGGGGGAUAAAAUGUGCCCACGCUGCCGGGAUUCUUUCCCCAGUAAAACGUGCAGCUUCAGCAGCGUCAGAGGCGCGUAUCAAUGGAGUGUUGUGUUACUGUGUUGUGAUCAUAUUGCGCUGCCUCGCGGUCAACAGACAAACCACGUUGCCCCUUACAGACAUCCAACUAUCACAGCGUGAACCCAAAAUGGGACGUGCUGGUGUUCGUGAAGACAUCUUACAUCAAAGUCGCAGAUAUCGAGAUGGGUGACGGAUUGAAACUCGAGAGUCGUAUUAGACUUUUGUUGGUUUUGGUCGUAUCGCAACAAUCAAACGCCACAUGGAACCUGAGGACUUUCACCCAGGAGACACUUGUUCCUGUCCUGCAUGACACCACAAAUAACAUCAGCAAAUAACAUUUCAACCCUUUUACUUCUCCUCACCAACUACUUUCGUUCCCUAGCAGAAAAUAUUGUUAUUAUAAGACCUUUACUUCAUCUCCCAUUCACUUCAAAUGAUGAAGUACAAAUGACUGAUUAAGCGCCCGGUCGCUGAAGCCAAUAAGCAUCUCAUGAACGAUGGCGGGAUGGAAAAGCUGUAUGUUUAUGAAUGUGAUCAGCCGAGCACUGAGUGAUGAAGUACUUCUGCCGCACUUUACAUUUAACAGCAGCACCUUCUUGUUUAGCACCACUAAGACAUCCUCAAACUCACUCAACCAUCUCCAGCAGCAAACGCUCAUAUUAACAAUCAACGGGGUCUCAUCGGUUGAAACAACAGAUGCCUUAAAACAUCCCGACUGACACGCGGCCACGACUCUGAGCCGUUGGCCGGGGAAAGUAAGUCGGAGCGUCCACCGCCGGGCGUUGCUGACACUCGCCGAAAAACUGGAAUGCGGUGAAGGUCAGAUUCCGCGCGAGAGGAGCGUUACCCAAGCCGGGCCGGUGGGAGGGCACAGAGGAGGGCUUUCACUCGCUCGCCCUGCUGACUUCAGACGCGCCACUGAAUUCCUGCAGGGUGUUUAUCUGCAGCCAGGUGAUUUCCAGCCCCCCCCCCCCUCAAAGGGAGGCGGGGGAGGGAAAGGAAGAAAGACGAGAGGGUUCGUAGGAAAAAGAGAAGAGCGUCUCUGAACCCAGGUGACCGUUGAGGGGGGCUUCUGGUUGUGAGCUACAGGUUGGGCAGUUAAUAAGUGCCCCUAAUAAUAAGGAAAAAGGGCGGGGGAAGCGAUGAAAGGAAAGGAAAGGAAGCAAGGGGGAGAGAGAGCAGGAGAAGAACGAAGGGUAGGAAGCUUAGGUUUCAUCUUUAUCAAGGGGAUUUCCAGCCGUCUUCUGACUGAGGGAAAAGCAAACUGCUCCAGAAGGAAUAGAAUUACUCAAAUAAAUGAAAAGAAAAGAAUUAGCCGUGUUAUGUGUAUAAAUAUAAAGGCGGUUUACAGGUGAGAGCAUUCUCACCUUUGUAGUGAUCCACAGAGUGGAGAAAGAAGGAAGGAGGGAGGGCAUUUUGGUGCAAUAUUUAUAUAUAUAUUUUGUUGUUUUGUACGAGCCCAUAAACCAGGAUCCCUUUUAACUCAAUCAUGGCCCAUCAACCCCCACCCAACCCCCACCACACACACACACACACACUCACACCCUAUAGCACACAUUUCUUGCCGUGUCCUUCUCACAGAGGAUACAAUGCUAUCUCUGAUGCCUAAUCCACAGCAGCACAGGGAUACUGGAAGGCUCACGACACAAAUUGAACAUUUCGACGCGGCGUGCGAGGCCCGGACUCUCCCAAUCAGGAAUCUAAAUGACGCGUUCUUUGUGCCGGUUGCAGUGCACGUUGGGGAAAUGGAACACGGGAUUGUGGGAGGCAUCUAUUUUAUGUUCUAAGCCCUUCAAUAAAACUCUCACUUCUCACCAGCUCCACCACCGCACGGGCGAUAACAAAAGGCGCUCUCUGUUGGUGGAGGCGACCGAGCCGUCAGCUUGAUGCAUUGAGACAUUAGCAUUUAGAUAACCCCUCUGAAUAUAGGAUGCCAGGGAAGGGAAAAACAGGAAGCAAAUGAAUACUGUGAAUAAUCACGAGUUACAUUUUGAAUUAACAUAGGUUUGUCUUUUAUCCUUCAGAGCAAAUGAGGCCGGCAAACAACGAGCGGAGCAUCCGGUUUUGUUUUCGCGCUCCUGUCGGACAAAAGAACAAGGAAUGUUUUCAUGGCGACUCUGGAUGAAUUAACCAAAGCAUUUUAUACGUUUUUUUUUUUAAUAAAAAGUAAAGAAAUCCUGCUCUGCUAAAGCGAUGUCUCGGAAAACAUUCAUUCUUCCAUAAUUUCCCAACUUACAGAAGAAUUGUUCAUAAUGUUCAUGUCUAACUCUCGAGGACAGUUUUUACCUAAAUGUCCUUAAGGGUUCGGCAAAGAUUGUGUUUUUGGGAUGAAUGUAUUAAAAAAAAAUCUGCUCGUCCUCGAGGCGAAUCUGUGUUGAGUUAAAACCAAUUAAGCCAAACCUACGUGAGGUAACAAUCCGUACGUUAGAAUCACACACACACACACACACCAAAAGUCCUUAUCACGUCUGGCCAACCAGAAUGUCACAUUAGGAACGCUGAAACGUGCCAGUGAGUGCAAUCCCAACAGUAAUUGCAUUUCACACGAAUCUUAUUUGCUCCAGCCAACAGUAGCGGGAAUGUGUUGUGCUGGUCACUGUGUUGGUUUUACAGGCACAUUGUUGUUGUAAAUGUAGAAUUUUCAAAUCAUACCGUUACCAUUAUUUUUCACGAGCUUCUGAGUGUUAAAGUGAUCUGUAAAACUGUGGUGACAGGCGGCCGCUAUUCAAGUAAAUGUCUCUGAACGUGUCCUGGUUGGUCCCGUUCCACAUCGUAUCUGUCAGCCUUUACCAAUUCAAAUCGGUCAUUUAAAGUAAUCGACUGUGGAAAAGGCGGGAUUGGAAAAGGUCAUCCUGCGAGAUGACAAUUUUGUCCAGUAGAAAAUUCAUUCAUGAGCGCCAAAGUGUCUGUAGAACUGGUUAAUAUUCAAAACCAAUCGGCCCGGUGAUCUCACGGGCCUCUGAGUUCUGCUCUGAUUCAUCACUUACGAUUCUCUCCUCGUGCUCGUAUAUUAUUUUCACAUCCCGGCAUUUGAUUUCAUUUGAGUUCGCCAAUCAGCGUGCGAUGAGAGCGUCUGGAAUCGCACUGAGAUCAACCUGAGCUUUGUCUCCCAAAAUAUCCUCUUAAAGGGGAAAUACCACUGUGUCUAACGGACACUCAGAGUACACAUACAGCCUUUGUUUUUACGUGACAGGUCCCCGGAGUGACGUUCCAGUAAACCAAAAACAAAUUUUGAUGGAAUUCUUUUGAUCCCACUGUGCGUUUUUCUUCUUUUGAAUCUAAAUGAACAUUUCAUCCGAGUGUCUGAGCGGCGCGGAGUCCUCCAGGCAAUCAGUAUUCCGGUCACCUGCUGUACAACAUAAAGAGCAUGCUAGCAAGCUGUGGACAAAGACACCCCCGACCCACGGCCCACCAAUGCACACGGACCCCCCCACACACACACACACACACACACACAUCAACACGAUCAACCGCACACACGCUUUCAAAAAGCUUCAUUGAAAUAAAUUGCAGCCUCUCUGGCUGCACCUACAGCAGUUUUUUCUUGGCUCCAGCAGCCACGACGGGUGAAAGGAGGAGGAGGUGGUGAUGUGAUGGGGGAGGGGCGCACGGGGGCGAGGGUGGUGGUGGUGGUGGUGGUGGGGGGGUUGGGGAGCUAGCAACAGACGAUUACAGCCGGACAAAAGGUUGGUAGACGUGACAACGCGGCUGCAAGUCAAUCGGCAGGGCGCAAUAUUAUCAUCUUUCCCAGAUUCCAGGUAAUGGAGGGAGGGGGGUUGGGG